CCACAGCAUUUAAGCUGCAAGGAAACAAAAUUCAUGAUUACCACGCUGCUGAAGCGCCAAUAUAGAAAUAUGCAAUUACGAUCUCAGUUGCGAGAGAUUUCGCAGGAAGUGCUCCACGACGCGUUUUCAUAUACACAUAAUCGUUAAGAGUGGUCAAGGAAGCCGGCGAUGUAAAAAUCGAUUUACACUACCCUUCUGGUGGCGUGCACGCCAGCUAGCACACAUACAUAUAUUAUACACACGAGGUAUUAGAGCCAGGCACUGAAAUUAUCCCUGUCGCCUGUCGUCCGCGAUAUCCUCACGACGACCGGGUCGCUCCCACGACUGGGGAAGACAUAAUGCAAAGCGCGAAAAACUUUUAACAAAGCCGCGCUAUCGGGAAAGGAAAAAAAAAAAAAAAA
This is a long non-coding RNA of Pogonomyrmex barbatus (red harvester ant), 401 nucleotides long. RefSeq lists it as uncharacterized. NCBI's taxonomy places the organism in Eukaryota, Metazoa, Arthropoda, Insecta, Hymenoptera, Formicidae. The record is from RefSeq and is a predicted model, not a curated record.